Molecule: ribosomal RNA, 624 nt
Filed under: uncultured bacterium
Lineage: Bacteria
Description: bacterial SSU rRNA
Rfam family: Bacterial small subunit ribosomal RNA
Source: RNAcentral
GAUGAACGCUGGCGGCGUGCCUAACACAUGCAAGUCGAGCGAAGCGCUGUUUUCAGAAUCUUCGGAGGAAGAGGACAGUGACUGAGCGGCGGACGGGUGAGUAACGCGUGGGCAACCUGCCUCAUACAGGGGGAUAACAGUUAGAAAUGACUGCUAAUACCGCAUAAGCGCACAGGACCGCAUGGUGUAGUGUGAAAAACUCCGGUGGUAUGAGAUGGACCCGCGUCUGAUUAGGUAGUUGGUGGGGUAAAGGCCUACCAAGCCGACGAUCAGUAGCCGACCUGAGAGGGUGACCGGCCACAUUGGGACUGAGACACGGCCCAAACUCCUACGGGAGGCAGCAGUGGGGAAUAUUGCACAAUGGGGGAAACCCUGAUGCAGCGACGCCGCGUGAAGGAAGAAGUAUUUCGGUAUGUAAACUUCUAUCAGCAGGGAAGAAGAUGACGGUACCUGAGUAAGAAGCACCGGCUAAAUACGUGCCAGCAGCCGCGGUAAUACGUAUGGUGCAAGCGUUAUCCGGAUUUACUGGGUGUAAAGGGAGCGUAGACGGAUAGGCAAGUCUGGAGUGAAAACCCAGGGCUCAACCCUGGGACUGCUUUGGAAACUGCAGAUCUGGAGUGCCGG